AGAAAAGGAAACCCUGGGUUUCCGUGUCCAACUUUAACUGUCCGUCUUAUAUGAAAUUUUUUUAUAAUUCGUAUUUUUAUUGUUGUUAUCAUUAUUGUUAGAUGAUAAAACAUAAUUAAUAUUUUAUGCGUGACUUGUCUUUUUUAUUUUUUUCGUAAUUUUUUUAAAUAAGACGAACGGUCAAACGUUAGACACGGAAACCAGGGUUUCUUUUUUU
Oryza nivara is the source of this 217-nucleotide non-coding RNA. The record is from Rfam. NCBI's taxonomy places the organism in Eukaryota, Viridiplantae, Streptophyta, Magnoliopsida, Poales, Poaceae.